RNAcentral lists this long non-coding RNA (366 nucleotides) under Lupinus angustifolius (narrow-leaved blue lupine). Its description in RNAcentral is "long non-coding RNA (LANG_LNC002931)". Lineage: Eukaryota; Viridiplantae; Streptophyta; Magnoliopsida; Fabales; Fabaceae. The record is from RNAcentral.
GUGAGACAGACAAAUAAAGUAUUAUGAGUUACGAAGAUAUGCUGCAAAACACAGUGAUUAUUGAAGCAUCCUAGAACUUAAGCAUGUCUAGUUAGAGUGAUUUGGUUGUGAAGGGUGUGACUCCUCUGCCACCUUAUCCUUGCUGCACAUUGCUCUUCCUGCUUCUUCUACUGUUUUCACAAAUGUGGCCAUUAUUUUAGCUUUGAUCUGGCCUCUUUUUGGAGGGACCCUAACCAUCUUAGAUGCUGGAGAUUUGAUAUUUUCAUUGGUUUUUGACAUUAAGUUACUUCAAAUGAAUGACUUUUGAGAAAAACAAAGUAGAAGAGAAGCAACAGAUAGAAUAUGCAAGAGAAAAAUGGCUUAAAG